GACGAACGCUGGCGGCGUGCUUAACACAUGCAAGUCGAACGGAAAGGCCCUGCUUUUGUGGGGUGCUUGAGUGGCGAACGGGUGAGUAACACGUGAGUAACCUUCCCUUGACUUUGGGAUAACUUCAGGAAACUGGGGCUAAUACCGGAUAGGAGCUCCUGCUGCAUGGUGGGGGUUGGAAAGUUUCGGCGGUUGGGGAUGGACUCGCGGCUUACCAGCUUGUUGGUGGGGGAGUGGCUUACCAAGGGUUUGAUGGGUAGCCGCCCUGAGAGGGAGACCGGCCACAUGGGGACAGAGAUACGGCCCAGACUGCUACGGGAGGGAGCAGUGGAGAAUAUUGCACAAGGGGCGGAAGCCGGAUACAGCAACGCCGCGUGCGAGAUGACGGCCUUCGGGUUGUAAACCGAUUUCGCCUGUGACGAAGCGUGAGGAAGGGAAAUGGGUAAAGAAGCACGGGUAAAUUACGG
RNAcentral lists this ribosomal RNA (467 nucleotides) under uncultured bacterium. Its description in RNAcentral is "partial 16S ribosomal RNA". It matches the Rfam family "Bacterial small subunit ribosomal RNA", at positions 28 to 506 of the family's 1533-position model. The record is from RNAcentral.